AUGCAGAAUCCAAGGAACAGGCAAAGGAGAUUAGAAACUAUGAAGCAGCAACAGAGGCGGCUGCAAGAUAACAUGUCAGGCCUGCAAUCUGGCUGGCCACUGGGACACCACUGCAUAUCCACAGCGUGUCUGCUGUGCACGAAUGGCAGCACCAAAGCAAUGCACAUUUUGGUUGCUGAGUUAUCUCCUGAAAGGGAAUCAGCACAGGCAGCUUGCAAAGCAGUUCAAGGUGGUCGAGUGGCGGAUGGCAAAGAGGAGGAUGAGGUGAACAGGACCAACCAGCCGUUUUACAUCUGCUCAGUGGCAAUGGCGGCAUCUUCUGGGCACCCAGGAUGUGAAAUCUGCAGAAUCCUGCCACCUUGAGAGCAGGCCCAGCACAGUGCUGUUCUCAGAUGGAAGAAUAGAGAAUGGAGGAGAGUCCACCCAUCCAAGCUUGAGGACAUCAUAGAUCCUCUUACAGCCUGCCAGGCCCUGACCUAUGUGAGACCAGCCCAGGUAAGAAAUGCUGCCUUCUCCACCUUCAGCUGACUGCAGACAUAUGUAGGUUUGUGAACGAUAAUCAGUGCUUACUGUUUCAAAUCAUUGUUGCAGGACAGUUUUUAACACAGCAAAAGCUAAGAUACUCAUGCACACAGAAGAAGCAUGCAUCAGUGGAAUGUCCACUUCGGUGGGAAAAUAGAACCCAGUGCUAAAUUUCCCAUUAAGCAUGCCAAGUGCAUUCUCAGCAAUGGGCACACAGAAUCUGCCCACUGACCCUGGAGGGCUCUGUUGUUACUAGGGAUUCCAAGAUUCCUUGUCCAUCUGCAGGGACAUGGAAACUAAAGGAGACUGUGGCUUCAUGGCUGGAAAGCCCGCUCAUUUGGCAUAGCUGAAAUGGGCGGGUUCCAACUGCAGCCAGGCUUUUAGAAAUGGGUGGGGGAGAGUUGUUAUGACAACCAGCAUACCCUCAUUGUGCUACCUAACUCUCAUGGUGGGUGGUGGGGUUCAAUGACUGUUGUCCACAGCAGGCCGAGAGUAAAGGUGAGGCAAGGCAGGCCUGAUUGUGCCUAAAGUGUUGCCCCAGACUGACUGACUAGGUGAAUAUCCACCAUUAUAAAGGUAAUGCAAAGACUCUAAGAAGAGGAUAGGUAACUCACUUUCAGGUGUGCAAAGUAAGGAGCGACCACUUGUGGUGGUAGUGAAGAGAGUGGGCUGUGUGGUUGAGGGAGCGCUGGUCUGGCUUUGAGGAGGCAGGAGGUCCCAUGCUGGUCAUUCACUCCCCCAUCUUCACCACCUCCUGGAGAGGCCUGCGGGCUGUGCAGCCACUGACGAGCGGGUGAGAGAAACUGUUGCUGCUGGCCCAAUUAUCUGUCCUUUUAGGCAAAGGAAUUCCUAUACAUUUCAGCAGAGAGCUCACCGUGUGCCUGUAAAUGCCAAGAAACCAAGUCACCAUCCAUUAGGGAGGCUGGUCUGUGUGCUGAAGCAGGAAGUGGGGCACGUGGGCCAUCCUCAAAGGCUCAUAGUGCUGGUAUGAGACACCCCAAAGCUAGGCUUGGACUCAAGUCUAUAGAGGCAGGGUUUCCCCUUGGUGGUGCAUGGGCUUCCCAUGUCAAGUUCCCAUGGGGGCUUUGUUAGACAUGUGGACUCCAGGAUCUGCAAACCUACUACCUCAGAACCAGGGGAACUCCUGGUUUAGCAGUCAGCCCUGGAUGCUUCUAGCACAUUAACUUGAAGAACCACUACCCUGAAGGAAAUUACCUGGCCCGGGAGGACCAGCAAGAGGCCUCAAGUGCAGGCUCCAAGUCCCCAUGGGCAAGCAUAGUGCUCCCUUGGGCCUUGCAACCACCCUGUUCUGCACACAUUCCCUCUUCUCUCCCAGUGGCUUCCAAACAUACCUGCACACCAGAAUUGCCUGGAAAUAUUUUUCUUUAAUGUGUAUUUCAAGGCCCUCCUCCCAGAUUAACUAAAUCAAAAUCUCAUAGGACAGGGCCCAGAAAUCAACGUGUAAUUUUAGAGAAAAAAACCCUAAAAUUCUCUAGUAGUCUUUGAUGCCCAAUCAGAUGAGGGGACCACUGGGCUCUGCCCAUCAGGGUCAUACGCAGAGGACACCAAUAGGUGACCCAUUCUUAACUCAAUUCUCAAGGACCUGAACCCAUCACCAGCCUUGGAGUGUAUUCACCCAGGAUAUGUGUUUUUACCAUUUAUCUUGGGGGCGCUCUGAGUCAACUAAUUCUUGAGUCUUUGAAACCCAGAGGGAGAACAAUGAACGUGAACUUGUAGGAGGCAAACUAAAACAACAUGCCAUCUGCAACAGAAUCGGCAUAAAUUCCCCAAAUGGCAUCGUGCUGCCAAGACAGCUCUCCAAGGCUCCGAUGUCUGCCUCAGUAGAGUACAGGCCCUGGAGAGGUUCAAUUAUCCUCCACACAUGUGCUCCUAGGGAGCCAGGCAAGAGAAGAGGCUGGAAUGUUCAACAAUAAAGUUCCUAGGGUUUAGAAGAAAGGGAGGGGCAGGUAAGCCAGAACUCGCUUGCAAUUCUGUUACAGCUUUGAUUGCUGAUAAUCGGUCAAUGGUUUGGUUGUGAUAUUUGCAUUAUUAACCUAGUUGAAAAAAUAACUGAUAGAUGGUGCCUUUCUUAGGGAUACAUAUCACAAGUGAAUAUCCAUUUGACAAAUAUUUAUCUACCAUGUGCAAAACGUGGGACAAACCACGCAGCGUCUGCUUUUAGGUUACUUAUGGAAAGGGAAGGGUGACAUCAGUGAGGGCCACCAGUUAAGGAGUUUAAGGGAAUAUGGUUCGGCUCAGGAAACAUAAGGUCAUUUUUUGGGAGCAGAUUAGAUUUGAGAAAUUGGUUGUGGAGCUUAAGGUGGGAGGAAGUACAUUUGGUGGAGGAGGAAAGACGGCACAAACCACGCACGGCCGCAGCUGGGAGUGGGGUAGGUUCGGAGAGCAGUACCGCAUUCUGUUAUUUUAGCACAGAAGAUUGGAGAGAUCCCAGGGUGAAAAAGGGAGAAUGGGGGCUUAAAGAAUGGCAGGCUGAGAGGUGGGGUGGCCUGUAGGCAGCAUGGGUGUCCAGUGAUCCUGGCCAUGUUUUCCCCUCACUCUGCAGAGAGCCUUAAAAUCCUUCUCCAUGCUGCACACUCCAUAGUGACCAGUAAUGGUGUGGGGUUGGCUCAUGAGGAAAGUUCUGCAAACCUUCUCCUAUACGAAAGCUAAGGAAUUAGCAUUUUAUUCUGGAGACAAUGACUGGAGAAAACAGUCUUUUUUUAUUUCCCCACUUGAAGGGGUGAUAUAAUCAAACAAGAUCUUCUGGAUGGUUAAUCUGCCAACAGAAUCUGGAAAGAACUGGGAUGGGGCAGGGCAUAGAUGAGCCUGGGAGGCCAGUGAGGAGACUUAGGAGGAUAAAAGCAAGCACCAUUUGUCCUGUGAUAGGUUCAACACACAGGCUGCCCUUGUCUUCUGCCUUCCUUCCUGUGCUCCCCUCCUCCUCCUGCUUCCUCUACUGACCUUCCCUGGUUGAUUUAUCCACUCAGAUGCCUCCCACCACCACCUGUAGGCCCAUGACUCCCAAAGGCACAUUUCUAGCUCCUCUUUGCUGAUCUUGGUCCCACACUUCCCAACUUCUCCUGACUCUUCCCCCAGUGUGGUGCUGGUUUCUCCAGCUCAGGAUUCCAGAAGUAAAUUUGUCAGGUACCCUACUAAAGCCUGCUUCUCCUCAGCUCCCUUCCUCGGCUGGGGCA
RNAcentral lists this long non-coding RNA (3716 nucleotides) under Callithrix jacchus (white-tufted-ear marmoset). RNAcentral describes it as "lncRNA (ENSCJAG00000083466.1)". Lineage: Eukaryota; Metazoa; Chordata; Mammalia; Primates; Cebidae. The record is from RNAcentral.